GCCUACGGGCGCAGAAGUAGGGAAUAUUGAAUAAUGGGAGAAAGCCUGAUGGAGCAACGCCGCGUGGGUGAAGAAGGUCUUCGGAUCGUAAAACCCUGUUGUUAGAGAAGAAAGUGCGUGAGAGUAACUGUUCACGUUUCGACGGUAUCUAACCAGAAAGCCACGGCUAACUACGUGCCAGCAGCCGCGGUAAUACGUAGGUGGCAAGCGUUAUCCGGAUUUAUUGGGCGUAAAGGGAACGCAGGCGGUAUUUUAAGUCUGAUGUGAAAGCCUUCGGCUUAACCGGAGUAGUGCAUUGGAAACUG
Molecule: ribosomal RNA, 305 nt
Filed under: uncultured bacterium
Lineage: Bacteria
Description: bacterial SSU rRNA
Rfam family: Bacterial small subunit ribosomal RNA
Source: RNAcentral